This 301-nucleotide ribosomal RNA is filed under the name uncultured bacterium. RNAcentral's name for it is "partial 16S ribosomal RNA". It matches the Rfam family "Bacterial small subunit ribosomal RNA", at positions 509 to 807 of the family's 1533-position model. The record is from RNAcentral.
CAGUCGCCGCGGGAAUACGUAGGGUGCGAGCGUUAAUCGGAAUUACUGGGCGCAAAGCGUGCGCAGGCGGUUAUAUAAGACAGAUGUGGAAUCCCCGGGCUCAACCUGGGACCUGCAUUUGUGACUGUAUAGCUAGAGUACGGUAGAGGGGGAUGGAAUUCCGCGUGUAGCAGUGAAAUGCGUAGAUAUGCGGAGGAACACCGAUGGCGAAGGCAAUCCCCUGGACCUGUACUGACGCUCAUGCACGAAAGCGUGGGGAGCAAACAGGAUUAGAUACCCCCGUAGUCCCUGUCUCUUAUAC